AAGAAAGUGUUCCCAUGGAAAACUAGCCAGGGAGUGGGGAGAAGGAGAUAGGGAAGGGGUAAAAGUCCAGCAAGGAUACAACCUCAGAUUAAGUCCUGAAUAAAGUACCUUCAAGUUGAUCCCACAGGGAACUGUGAUGUGUAAGCGAAGACCCAUGGCAAGGAAGCUAUGGCUUUCAUAUGCCCAGACAUGUCAGUGUAUGGUAAUUGAACACACGCAGGAAAUAUACAUUCCCAGACACUUCUUCGUGUUCACUCAGGCAAUGUAAGGCACAAGUAGCCUUAAGGCAAUUAAACAAAUACUAUAUAAUGGUCACCAAUGCUGGCUGUUAGAAACAAAAUCACACUAAGGCCAUGGCACCUAAAAACAGUAAAAAGAGGAUCCGAGAAGAUAUUGGCAAAGUACCAAAAUUGUCCACUUUGGUCCUAGCCUUGCCCUUCUCAGGUCUACUCCCAUCACACAAUUAAGUUCACUCCAUCCUGUAACAGAUUCUUCAAAAUGAUGGCUGGUCAAAAUUUCUGAGGAAAAAGAACUUAGAAAAAACCUCCAUAUCUGGAAGAGUAGCUGCAAUUGCAGUUAUAGCUGAUGAAGUUUAAAUAAUGCAAUUAUUUCCAAAGACCCGUCACCUUCUGUACGAGCUAGCAGGAAGAGAUAAAUGGGAAUGUGAACAGCAUCACCACCCUGCAUCUUUCAAGCCUUUCACCUUGGCACUCACUUCUGCAAUUCCCUGCAGGGAUGCAGUCCUGCUUUCAGUUAAAUAUCCUGGCAGGGAGGGAAAGUUCAGAGGCUUCCACUUACCCUUUCUACCAUAAUAACCCUCACUUCCUGGAUCAGAGGACCACUGCAGAGAUUCUGCCAGAUGCCAAGUGUAUCUGACAGAGGUCAAUUAUGCAUUUAGGAAUGGGAGAAAUAACCACCGGUGAGUCUGUGGACUUUAUUGGGCAAUUGGUGAUUCAAACUUGGAACAUCAUUUAUUACCUGAUUAUUUAUAAACCCCACAUUGGUAUUCUGAGUCCCCAAGGAUUAGUGUCAAUCCCCAAGAGUUUAGAUAUUUCACUUUCUCUAAUGCACAAUUACUGUAGUAACUGGUCUCAGAUCUCUUUUGACAAGGUUGGAUGAAAGAUAAGUGGUAGAUUUCCACUGGUAGUGUUUCAGGGGACCCAAAACUCUCCUUCAAUCAAGAAGCGCUUGGUCUGUGAACUGCCUUCAGUCUGGAAUUAAGGGAGAACACGUGAUUUUCCACUGUAGUGAGUCAAAUCAUACAUUUGGCACACCACUUGGAAUUUUUCUUGUUCUACAUCAAGUAAUGUUUUGCUGGUCUGCAUUUACUUUGUUUUUAGGGACAUGAAAUUAAUUAUCCCCUGCAAAAGAUUUCUGUGGAUUAAAACUUCACUGCAUAUGUAUAUUACACUAAUAUGCCCACUUAGUCUCUGGCAGUUAAAUGUUGCAUUAUUCUCAUGAGGAAACCAACUCAAUGAUGCCAUCUUCCAACAUUAUACCCGGUCUAUCAAAGACAUUCCCAUAUUUUAAGGAUAUGGAUGUUCCGCUCACCUAUGUAAUUUCUCAGUGACUUAGUGAAGGGAGUGCCUUUCGGGCCCUUUCAGAAAAAGCAACGUGGGAAGGACUGGCUGCACAUGAUAAAUCCAUUCCAACUUGCCUAUUUCCCUAAGCCCUUGGAUUUCUUUCUCUAUAUUAUACCAAGGAAGUGCUGAUAUUUCAACCUCACUGAGUAACCUCUGAGUCAAAUUUUUACUCAACCAACCAGGGUAAAAUGUUAGAGCCCCUUCCACCUGCCACAACCAACACAUUACAUUCAAACUCACUUGUAGGUGCACCAUAAUUUGACUUUGUCCAUUCAUAAACAUUUUGCAAUUCAUUUUGGAGUACAAAAUAUUUCCUCCCAGGUCACCUUGAGCAUAACCCCUUGGACCAUAAGGAGAAUUGACCCUAGUUACAAGAUGGUUGAGAAAAAAAAGAGCUGUUCCAUAUAAGAUAACUGUACCAGGAAAAGUUAUUAAAGAAUCUUUAAUAAGAGAAGGCUAAUUUCCUCAAACACAGAAGGGAGGGCUGCUUCCACUAGCAAAGAAACUUCAGAGUGUUGAGAUGUUCAACACUCUUAACAUUAACCAAGUCUUCCCAAAUGUUCUAUCCCAAGUUUUAGGGUCUAUUCCUUCCCGAUGGAUGCCCUGACUUUCAUGUGAGAGACUUGAUGAGGCUGUGAAUUUACCUUCGGUAACCCAUACAAUUAAAUUUUCUUUCUGAUUUUUCACAGGGAUUAUCAUAGAGCUUUAGGAAGGAAGAUAUAAUGUUUAGAUUCACUAUAGAAAUUCUUUGGCUCUCCAAAUGUGACUUGGCUGAAAGUCCCAUGGCUUGAGAUUUUAAAGAUCUGAGAGGCAUAAUUUUUUUUUUCUGAAAGCGCCUCAUUGCACAGAGGAGCAGCCAUCUCACUCCAAGUGCUUUUGGUUAUCACCGGAGCCAUAACAGGUAGAAGCAGCAGCCACUUCAGUUCUCCGAACAUGUGCUUCCCUGGAUACUUUAUCACAAGCAACUAUAAAAGAUAAGUUUGUUAGUCACGAUGUCACUAGAUGCCUUGAAUUAUUUGGAUCCCAUUUCAUUUUGGCAAGGAUCUCAGCACUAAAUUCAAAGUUAGUUCAAAGAGAAAACUGAACCAAGCCCUAAAGCAGGGGUCCCUAACCCCUGGGCCAUGCACCGCUACCGUUCCUGCUAGGAACCAGCCUGCACAGCAGGAGGUGAGCAGCGGGCAAGUAAGUGAAGCUUCAUCUGUCUUUACAGCCGCUCCCCAUCGCUUGCAUUACCGUCUGAGCUCUGCCUCCUGUCAGAUCAGCGGCAACAUUAGAUUCUCAUAGGAGCGCAAACCCUACUGUGAACUGCGCAUGUGAGGGAUCUAGGUUGCUCACUCCUUAUGGGAAUCUAAUGCCUGAUGACCUGAGGUGGAGCUGAGGCAGUGAUGCUAGCACUGGGGGGUGGCUGCAAACACAGAUUAUCCUUAGCAGAGAGGUUUGACUGCACAGCGACCAUAAUAAAUAAAUUUCUUGCAGACUCAUAUCAAGACCCUAUCGGUGAGUGGCAAGUGACAACUACGUUGCAUCUGGUGGCAGGCGUUAUAGUGGCAAGUGAGUUGAUAUACUUCAAUUGUACAGCUGCAUCUGGUGGCAGGCUUUAAGUCAGAAUCCAACACUUAUUUUAGUCCGUGCGUGGCCCACCCAUUAUUUUAUUUACCAUUUCCAUCCAUGCCUCUCUCCCACACACUUGUCUCAGUCACAGUUGUGGUGAGCCCACAAGCUAACCCUAGCCAAAAUGAGUAAAAAAGCAAUCAUCGCUGGAGAGCUUCUUUGAAAACGGGGAAAGACCCAGUGAUGAGACAGCAGAAGACUCUAAGACUGCCAACAAAAAAGAAAGCUGCAUUUAAAAGAAAAUACCAAGAGUCCUACUUAAAUUAUGGGUUCAUUGCAACAGGUGAUUCACAUUCCCCAAGCCUGCUUUGUAUAAUAUGUGGCGAUCUGCUAUCCAGUGAAGCCAUGAAACCUUCAAAACUGCUUCACCACAUGGAGACCAAACACCCUACAUUAAAAGACAAGCCUUUGGAAUUUUUCAAAAGAAAAAAAUGUGAACACAAAGAACAGAAGUAAUUGUUGGAGGCCACCACUUCAUCAAAUGUGUCUGCACUGAGAGCAUCAUUCGUACUGGAUACCCGCACUGCUAAAGCUAAGAAGCCCUUUCCUAUUGGGGAAGAGUUGAUCCUGCCUUCUGCUAAGGACAUUUGUCACGAACUUUCAGGAGAGGUUGCAGUUCAAAAGGGGGCACAUGUUUCUCUUUCAGCUAGCACCAUACCUAGAUGAACUGAUGAAACAGCAGAGGAUAUUGCGGCACAAUUGUUCGAGAGGAUUAAUGAGUCACUGUGGUACGCAAUCCAGGUUGACGAGUCUACCAGUGUGGACAAGGCAACAAUGCUUGUUUCUGUGUGAUAUAUUUUUCAGGAGGAUGUGCAUGAGGAUAUGUUAUGUGCACUUGUGUUGCCAGCCAACACCACAGCUGCAGAGCUAUUCAAGUCUUUGCAUGAUUACAUAUCAGGAAAUCUGAAUUGGUCAUUUUGCGUCGCCAUAUGCACGGAUGGAGUGGCUGCCAUGACUAGACGGCUUUCUGGUUUCACUACUCAGGUCAAAGAGGUCGCUUCUGAAUGUGUGUACACACUGUGUCAUCCGUAGGGAAAUGCUGGCUAGCCGAAAAAUGUCACCUGAACUUAACAACAUUUUGCAAGCUGUGAUUAAAAUUAUCAACCACAUUAAAGUGCAUGCCCUUAACUCACAUCUGCUUGUGCAGCUCUGUGAGGAGAUGGAGGCAGAGCACACUCGUCUUCUCCUGCAACACAGAGUGAGAUGGCUUUCUAAAGGUAGAUCACUGGCCGGAGUUUUUGAGUUACGAGAGCGGCGCCAGAGAUUUCUUUUAGAAAAACAGUCACCACUGGCAGCACAUUUCAGUGACACAGAAUGGGUCGCAAAACUUGCUUACCUGUGUGACAUAUUGAACCUGCUCAAUGAACUCAAUCUGUCACUUCAGGGGAGAAUGAUGACUGUGUUCAAGCUGAGAGAUAAAGUGGCUGCGUUCAAAGCCAAACUGAAAUUAUUGGGGCAAAGAGUGAACAUUGGGAAUUUUGACAUGUUUCAAACAUUAGCAGAUAUUGUGAAAGAGACUGAGCCAGGGCCUUCUUUCUCCCAGCUGGUGCAUGUUCACCCAUCUCAGCUUUCAAAAGAGAUUGAGCAUUACUUCCCGUCCACAAAAGACCCCUGAACUGGGAAAGAAUGGAUCCACGACCCAUUUGUGAAUAAGCCAGGUGAAUCGACUUUGUCCGUGCUAGAAGAGGAUCAACUGCUUGAGAUCGCAAAUGACGGUGGCCUUAAAAGUAUGUCUGAGACAACUUCAGACCUCCAUACCUUCUGGAUUAAAGUCAAGGUGGAAUAACCUGAGAUUGCCACAAAAGUACUGAAAAGCCUGUUUCCAUUUCCAACAUCCUAUCUUUGUGAAGCAGGGUUCACGGAGGAGACUCGACAAAAGCAACACACUUCGGUGUCACGGCCUCCCAUCACCCCUAGAUGGAACCAUCUAGUUGCAGGAAAACAAGCUCAGGGCUCCCACUGAUUCUGCAUUAUGGAGUCCCCAACCCCCAGGCCGUGGACUGGUACUGGUCUGCAGACUGUUAGGAACUGGGCUACAGAGCAGGAGAAGUGAAUGUUGGCAGCCUAUUUUCUGAGAGUUUGCAUACGAGAAAAGAACUUUCUGUUGCCAAAGCACGUGACCAAUAAUCUGGCUGAGUACAGGAUUUUUCAGAGGCAACAUUGUCCCUCAAAAAAACUGCUCCUCCUUUUUUCCCCAGGCAUUUAGCAAUGGAGGGUUAAUUCUUAUGUCCUGAUGGGUUUUUAUUUUGAUCUUUUAAAAAUAUAUAUUAGGUCACAGAUCCAGUUGUCCUUAGAGAAAAAGCGAGAUAAUCAGCUCCCUGUAUAAUUCAAGCAGGGCCUUUGCCUCUCUACCAUUCUUCCCUGCUGUCUUUGCCCGCAAAAGAAACAAGCCCUGACAUGAUACGGCUUACCAUUUGCCUAGCUGCUCACAUAAGAGAGGCUUGGCCACACUGGGGUCCCUCUGUGUCAGGAGCCAACCUCCAUGCUGUCAAUUCUCUGCUUGGUUUGAGCUGUCCAUUCCAGGAGCAAAUUCUGCAGCUCUCUAAUUCUACUGGUGGAACCCAAAACCAUAUGUUUGGAAAAGAGAAAAGUAAUUCAAGUGUAACGCUACAAGUCUACUUUGCCUCCAUCAUUCACCUCCUGAUUUAGAUAAUAAAAAUUAUUUUACUUCUUAUCCCCAUCUUUCCAUAUUCAUGUAUUUCUAUCCAACAAUUGCUCUUCAUAAGAAGAGAUGUAUGGACCAACCUCUUAAUUCUUGAUAUCACCAACACAAAACAAAAACUCCUUGGUAUAAAAGUAGAUCAUAUAUAUCCAUGGAAUACAUGCUGAAUGGCCCUGCUUUGACUUUUACUGAACUGCACUUGAUUUCCUAUGCCAUCUGCCUUCGUAAAGGAUAUUAAAGGAAAUCAUCUUAUGAAACUUGUAAGUGUACUCACUGUAAGAUAUUGGUGAAAUAGUGUUCGUUACGUUGCACAGUAAGGCUGUCGUCUGUAAGUUCAGCCUUAACCUAGGUUUUAAAACAUACCCUUUCCUUAAGCAGGGACAUUUCUAAUCUUGUUCUCAUGGUAUAUCUUCAUCUCUAAAAUUAAGCUUUUGUCUUGUAGCUCAGUUUCAGUAACUUUAUUCUGUCCUAGUAAAGCUGUACCUUUUCUACCAGGUCUUUGUGCUGCCUUGUCCUUUUCAGUCUGCCUAAGUAUUAGAGCGCUGCCCUGAAACUCCACUCCCUGUGAUAGGAUGAAGUCUCUCUGGUGCUAGACGGACUGCCCUGACAUAAACUCUUCCAACACAUAGUUCUCGGCCUACUAGUCUCCAUGCAACUCUUGGCCAUUGAUCACACAUUUCCUCAGAGCCUUCUCAUUUCCUUCUAAUUGCCUACUUUAGAGGCUUUCCAGAAAACUCAGCCACACCUCAGUGGGCCUAUGUGGUCCUAAGAACCUACAUUCCUAAAUUCAAUCUGUCCUACCAUCCACCAAGCCCCCAGCUUUAGCUUAAUACUUCUUUUUCACCAGAACUGAGUCAGUUCUCAAGGCUUUAUCUGGAUUUGCCUGUAGAUGCCAAAGUCUUCUGUGAAGGCAAUUAAUAUUUGCACUGUGACUUACUGAACAUGCCAUAAUGUGUGAGUGGAGGUUCGUAGGACACAUUCCCACUCAUCUGAUACUGAAAUUCAGUUCUUUCAGAGUAAGAUGGCGUCUCCUCCAUGCCACAUAGUUUUACCCCUUUUUUGCACGUAAAUAGUUCAUGUGUCCUUGGCAUGUUUUUCAUUUUUUCUCUAAUCAUCCUCACAAAGGAAACCAUGAAUAGUUAUUCCUCCACCACUGAGUAGCACAAAGAAGAGAGAAACACACAAGUAUC
Molecule: long non-coding RNA, 7046 nt
Organism: Physeter macrocephalus (sperm whale)
Lineage: Eukaryota; Metazoa; Chordata; Mammalia; Artiodactyla; Physeteridae
Exons: 3
Source: RefSeq, a predicted model, not a curated record